CUUCCCCGACUACCGGAGCUCGCAGCCCGCUCCUCCCUCCGCCAUUGCCGCUGUCGGCCACCACUCCAAACCGGCUGCCCGGUGAACCUCUCCAUCUGUUCUUUUCCUCGCCAGAGUGCCUGUGGCCGCGGGUCCCCGGUGAACCUCUCCAUCUGUUCUUUUCCUCGCCAGAGUGCCUGUGGCCGCGGGUCCCCUAGUCCGGCCGUCGCCAGUGCUCUCUGCCUUCGCACAUCGCCGUCGUCUCAGUCUCUCCCUGGCACUGCUGUGGCACUUGGUGGAUGCGACCCGUCUCCUCGAGCCCGCCCAUGGCUUCUCCCUGGCCGGAGACCGCCGUCACCGGCUGGUCCGUCGCCGGCUGUGCGCCCUCCCCUGCCCUGCUCUGUUCUCUAUUGGGGCGCAGCGAGGCGCAAGAAGGAGCCAGGCUAGGCGGGCCCCUCCUCCCCAGCAACCCCACGUGUUAGCGAGUGGACCCCCAGACCACGUUAGUAACUGGAAGCGGUUUUACAUAAAUACGUUUUUCCCUUUAGAAAACAAACUUGGGUGAAGCUUCAGGCAAAAGUGCGCUUUCACUUCUUUAAAAGCGUACUUUGAAUCCACUGCGGCUUAAAAGGCGCUUUCUUUUGCAGAAAACGUAUUCAGCCGGAGGCGCUUUCUGUUUCAACCUCCAAGGGCCUGUGUGUGAAUACAACUUUUACAAAUUGCUCCUUGUUCUUCAAACACUCGUAUCUCAGCAACCCUAACUCUAAAUGAGGUGAUUCCAAAGCCCACAUCUUCGUCUCGUCAAGCCAUGUGUAUUGGUACCAUUUUCACUAUGUUUUCACAUUGGAAAUGACCAUUUUGCCCUUGCCCUUAUCUAGCCCCCUCCGAGAGGGAAUCUUUUCCGACGAAUCAUUCUGCGAAUUCACCGCACUUCUUCUUGGAGUAUUCUUCAUCCCCAAGCAAGCCACGGCAACCAUUUGCAUGAGAGCCUUGCAGUAGUAUUUGUUUUCUACUUGAACAAUAAAAUAUUUUGUGCAUUCUACUAUUUUGUGAGUGCUUUAUUUAUGCUUGUGAAUACAUGCUUAUCUUUAUGCCAUGAUCAUUUUCACCUAUUGGGUUAAAUGAGUACUUGCUAAUAUUAUCAUGCUCUAUUCUGGUAUUUAUUGUUGAUACUAGUGGUCAUGCCAUGCUCAUGUGUAGUGUUAUACUUGUGCUCGGUAUGCCAUGCUCAUCUUCAGCUAGUAGAGUAAAUAAUUUAUUGUUUUUGACAUGUUAAACGGUUAUGCUUCCCAUCCAUGCUUAUGUUGAUAUCAUGCUCAUGUGCAUUAUUAUUUCAUCAUAUUAUUAUGGCUCAGCUAUUUAGUUUUCAUGCUUAACCAGACUUUAAUCAAACUUGAACACCUGUUGGCUGAGUCAUAGUGCCAUGGAAUCGAGCUGACCAGUGUAGCCACACUUGCCUUAUGGGGGUCCUAACUGGGUCUAUUGUCACGCCUCUUGCCGGUGCCUCCAACUAGGGAACGUUAUGGGCGCGCGCUACCCUGAUCAGGUAGGCGGACAUAAGCCUUGUGUGCCCGUGUUGGUUUGAGCGCUCUUGUCCCGUUUGGGACCGUUUUUGUUUUGCCACGACGGUGGCCGUUGGAUGUCAUGAGGUGACAUUGGGGCCACCCAUGACUUAGCCCAAAGGGGAGUUUGUCGGAGUGGCCGGGAGAGUGUCAUGGUAGUAGAUCGGUUUUGUCGGAACAUCGUUGGUCCACCCGAAUGGGAGCACGAGGCCUUGGGUUCUGUAGUGUGGGUACAAUGUGCUAACCUCUGCAGAGUGUGUUUAAAUCUAUCGAUAACCGCACCCGCGGAUAUGGGCCCAGUUCGUAGUAGGUCACACUAUGGGUCAAUAGAAAUAAUAACCUGCUUAAUUAUAACCCUGGUUCAAUGAGGAAAGAAGUUGGUUGAUCUUUAUGUGAUCAUGAGAGGAUCACAGUGGUAUCGUGGAUACCGAAUCUGGUUGAUGUUUGUGGUGCUAUGCGGUAAUCACGGGUAAGGAUCAAGCUCCUUGUGGUCAUGUAAUGAUUACUAUGGUAUUGUUAAUACCAAACUUUAUUUGAUCCUAAGUUGAUCAUGUGAUGUCCAUGAUGGUAAGUGGUAUAUGUGGUGGUUACGAGGUAACCCCGAACAGAGUAAGUGGAUCAUCUUGUGCAUAUCAUGAGUAACCUUGCCAUGCUCAUUUCAUGUGAUGCUAGAUGUGUUAUGUUCAACAUGUUCAUGCCAUGCUCAUCUGAUAUUGUUCUAGUGGUAUCUUGUUCGCCAUGUACAUGCCAUGUUGUAUCAUGCUCAUCAAUGUUAAACCUGUAAAUGCCAUGAUGUUGUUUGUCUUGAUUGCUUUUGGUUGCUGUGAGCUUGAAAGUACAUUCAAUGUACUGACCUGGCAUGUCAUGCCAGAUUGCAGGUGAUGCCGUGAUUGAUUGCUUGUUGAGGUUACCGUUCGUGCAAGCCAGAUCACGUUCCAGCAAGAGUCCUUGCGGAGUGGAGUCCAUCACUGGUGUCGUUGUUCCAUUGCUACAAGAUAUUCUGUUGCUUCGGGUUCUUCUGCUACUAACAUAGAGCAACCUGAGCAGGCGUAGGGUCUCCAUGCCGAUGUCAUUUGUUGUGAUAUCGGAACCCUUGUAACCGUAUCAUUUGUAACAAAAAGUUGUUUUGUUCUUUGCCAAGCAGUG
RNAcentral lists this long non-coding RNA (2687 nucleotides) under Triticum aestivum (bread wheat). RNAcentral describes it as "long non-coding RNA (TAES_LNC018832)". The record is from RNAcentral. Lineage: Eukaryota; Viridiplantae; Streptophyta; Magnoliopsida; Poales; Poaceae.